This 591-nucleotide ribosomal RNA is filed under the name uncultured Rhizoscyphus. RNAcentral describes it as "eukaryotic LSU rRNA". The stretch from base 232 to 385 matches the Rfam family "5.8S ribosomal RNA". The record is from RNAcentral. Lineage: Eukaryota; Fungi; Ascomycota; Leotiomycetes; Helotiales; Helotiaceae.
CUUGGUCAUUUAGAGGAAGUAAAAGUCGUAACAAGGUUUCCGUAGGUGAACCUGCGGAAGGAUCAUUAAAGAAUUGCCCCAUUUUUUGAAAUGGGUUCUAUUCCCGAACCGUGUAUACAUACCUUUGUUGCUUUGGCAAGCCGUCCUUCGGGCGCAGCUUCGGCUGAGAGCGCUUGCCAGAGGACCCCAACUCUUUUGUUUAGUGAUGUCUGAGUACUAUAUAAUAGUUAAAACUUUCAACAACGGAUCUCUUGGUUCUGGCAUCGAUGAAGAACGCAGCGAAAUGCGAUAAGUAAUGUGAAUUGCAGAAUUCAGUGAAUCAUCGAAUCUUUGAACGCACAUUGCGCCCCUUGGUAUUCCGAGGGGCAUGCCUGUUCGAGCGUCAUUAUGACCACUCAAGCCUAGCUUGGUAUUGGGGUUCGCGGUCUCGCGGCUCUUAAAAUCAGUGGCGGUGCCAUCUGGCUCUAAGCGUAGUAAUUCUCUCGCUAUAGGGCUCCGGUAGUUGCUUGCCAAAACCCCCCUAUUUCUCACGGUUGACCUCGGAUCAGGUAGGGAUACCCGCUGAACUUAAGCAUAUCAAUAAGCGGAGGA